RNAcentral lists this ribosomal RNA (301 nucleotides) under uncultured bacterium. RNAcentral's name for it is "partial 16S ribosomal RNA". It matches the Rfam family "Bacterial small subunit ribosomal RNA", at positions 509 to 807 of the family's 1533-position model. The record is from RNAcentral.
CAGUAGCCGCGGUAAUACAUAGGGUGCGAGCGUUAAUCGGAAUUACUGGGCGUAAAGCGUGCGCAGGCGGUUGUGUAAGACAGGUGUGAAAUCCCCGGGCUUAACCUGGGAACUGCGCUUGUGACUGCACAGCUAGAGUAUGGCAGAGGGGGGUGGAAUUCCACGUGUAGCAGUGAAAUGCGUAGAGAUGUGGAGGAACACCGAUGGCGAAGGCAGCCCCCUGGGCCAAUACUGACGCUCAUGCACGAAAGCGUGGGGAGCAAACAGGAUUAGAUACCCGAGUAGUCCCUGUCUCUUAUAC